Molecule: non-coding RNA, 163 nt
Filed under: human gut metagenome
Description: Lysine riboswitch
Rfam family: Lysine riboswitch aptamer
About the family: Riboswitches are metabolite binding domains within certain messenger RNAs that serve as precision sensors for their corresponding targets. Allosteric rearrangement of mRNA structure is mediated by ligand binding, and this results in modulation of gene expression.
Source: RNAcentral
GAUAGAGGCGCGGAUAUGAUGAGUACUCCACGGUAUACGUCGGCAAACGGCGGUGGGGGAAAGGCUGUUCCGCCGAAGUGGUUUUGCGGUUGCCGCCGCGGGGCUGCUGGGGUCGCGCUUAAUAGGCGCGGCACUGUCGCAUAUUUUUGCGGAGAGCUAUCAU